UAGAGAUAUGAGGGUGCUAGCUUGCUAGAACUUAGAGACAGGUGCUGCACGGCUGUCGUCAGCUCGUGUCGUGAGAUGUUGGGUUAAGUCCCGCAACGAGCGCAACCCACGUAUUUAGUUGCUAACGGUUCGGCCGAGCACUCUAAAUAGACUGCCUUCGUAAGGAGGAGGAAGGUGUGGACGACGUCAAGUCAUCAUGGCCCUUAUGCCCAGGGCGACACACGUGCUACAAUGGCAUAUACAAUGAGACGCAAUACCGCGAGGUGGAGCAAAUCUAUAAAAUAUGUCCCAGUUCGGAUUGUUCUCUGCAACUCGAGAGCAUGAAGCCGGAAUCGCUAGUAAUCGUAGAUCAGCCAUGCUACGGUGAAUACGUUCCCGGGUCUUGUACUCACCGCCCGUCACACCAUGGGAGUUGAUUUCACUCGAAGCCGGAAUACUAAACUAGUUACCGUCCACAGUGGAAUCAGCGACUGGGGUGAAGUCGUAACAAGGUAACCGUAGGAGAACCUGCGGUUGGAUCACCUCCUUUCUAG
RNAcentral lists this ribosomal RNA (533 nucleotides) under Campylobacter jejuni. RNAcentral describes it as "bacterial SSU rRNA". It matches the Rfam family "Bacterial small subunit ribosomal RNA", at positions 1001 to 1533 of the family's 1533-position model. The record is from RNAcentral. Lineage: Bacteria; Pseudomonadati; Campylobacterota; Epsilonproteobacteria; Campylobacterales; Campylobacteraceae.